Molecule: unclassified non-coding RNA, 3427 nt
Filed under: Hevea brasiliensis (rubber tree)
Lineage: Eukaryota; Viridiplantae; Streptophyta; Magnoliopsida; Malpighiales; Euphorbiaceae
Source: RNAcentral
CGCACAAGUAUUUAGUAGGUUGGAAAUUUUGGAUACAAAUACCAAUAGGCCACAAACCGGUUUUGAUUUUCAAUUAAUCCCAAAUCCCAAUCUUAAUCCGUUUCAGAGAUUGGAUCAGCCCCGGUCCGGGUCAAAAUUCAGUCCCUAUUUUGAUUUUCGCAUCUACAAAUAGAUUCAAAUAAUAAGUGGACGGCUACCAGAAAUACAUGAAUGGUAUCAGAGCAGAGUAGCCACUUUGCCAAAUUUAACUUCACUGAAUAAGUAUCAUGCUACAGAGUCUGCUUCUCCGUGCUUCUAAUUCUAUCUCGCUACCGUUGCCUAACCGUCACCAACUCUCUCCGUCUCCAAAACCAUUCUCUGCUUGGAUAGACGCAGCUCCCUCUGCUGGACAAUCGCCCUCCAAUUAUCGAUCUGCACUCCCUUCUCUCCGCUGUACUGCUGCUGGUGGAGGAAGUGAGUUGCAGCCGCUACAAAAUCAGGGAAUGGCCGCUCAAGACGAGAAAGAUCCUCGAAUAGCGAGGAUUUCCUCUUCAAUCAGGAUCAUCCCUGACUUCCCCAAAAAAGGGAUUUUGUUUCAGGAUAUAACUACGUUGCUUCUGGAUACUAAGGCGUUCAAGGACACGAUAGAUUUGUUCGUUGACAGAUACAAAGGGAAAAACAUCUCCGUCGUUGCAGGUAUUGAAGCAAGGGGUUUUAUAUUUGGCCCUCCGAUUGCAUUGGCAAUUGGUGCAAAAUUUGUGCCCUUGAGGAAACCUAAGAAGUUGCCUGGGGAGGUUAUUUCAGAGGAGUACUCAUUGGAAUAUGGAAAAGAUGUAAUCGAGAUGCAUGUAGGUGCUGUACAAGCAGGAGAACGGGCAUUGGUAAUAGAUGAUCUCAUUGCAACGGGAGGGACAUUAUGUGCAGCAAUCAGCCUACUUGGUAGUGUUAUAAAGCUUAAAUUAUAGUGUAGUUUAUCAUUUUUGGCUGCCUAUUUAGUCUUCAAUAUGUUUCCCUUUAAUAUAUUUAUUUAAUUGGUUUGAGACUUUAGAGGAGUGAGCUUAUGCGGUUACAUCGUUUUCCUUUUCAAUUGAAAGGGGAUUCUCCUUUGAGGAGGAUGGAGAAUGUAUUGUUUGAAUUGGCAUCUGAAAGUCAAAAUCUUGUCUGGGAAGCCAAUCUAAGAAGAAGUUAGGGCCAUCUAUGUUGUGCAGCGCUGUUGUCCUUGCAAGAGUUAGGUUUGCAUAGCAUAAGAAAUGACCUAUCCUUUAAACAUUGAUGUUUUGAUUUAUAGGUGAUUGAAACUUUUGUUUUGGUUUAAUGAUGUGUGCCAGUUGCUUUUGGUCUGCCUACACCUAAAAGUUUGUUGAAAUUAUGCUCAGUUGUUUGCAGUCUCAUCAAUGGUUAUUAAAUAAUCACCUGCUGGUUAUUCUUCUUUGUGUUGUCGGUGCAUGCAUCUUCACAUCAUUAAUUAUUUGUCAUUUUUUUGUUGCAGAGCGUGUUGGGGUACAUGUUGUCGAAUGUGCUUGUGUCAUUGAAUUGCCAGAGCUGAAGGUAUGUCCUUUAUUUCUCAUUACAGGAAUAUCCAUGUCACUGGUUACAAUUAAUCAUAAAACCUUGCAUGACUGGAGGGCCUUACUUCUUUCAUUUUUUUUCUGCUUUCUUUUUGUAUCUUCGGUAGAAUGUCCUCUCCGUGAGUUAUUUCUUCUCUUGACGUUCUCAUUUUUCUAUCAAAAAAAUUUUCAUUGUUGCCUCUUACAAUAUCAAUGUUUACUGUCUUAUAAUUUCUCUAAAUUAGAUAGAGCUAGUCACUGACUUUCUCUUGCCUUCUGCUGCUACUUGCAUUUAAUCAUAUCUUGUGUAUUAGUUUCAUACUAUAUGUGUGCUUUUCUUGUUCAUUACAGGGCAGGGAACGGUUAGAAGACAAACCACUGUUUGUUCUCAUAAGCGGUUAGAAGACAAACCAUUUUUUCUUGGAGUGCCUAAUAACUAUAACCCUUCUCAAAGUUAUGAACUUGAUAAAGGUGAAGGAAACUUGGUAAUAAAGUAUGAGGACUCUUUUUUUUAACUUCUCUUUUUGGCUUGAUUGCAUUAAACUCUAAUUUUAAUUAUUGUUGGCUUUUAUGGCCAUGUGGGUUUGCGGUAGGGGAAUGACCAUCCUUGAUGUCUGGUUUUGGGGCAGUGGAUGGAUUGGGUACACCAAAUGUCAUUUGUUUCCCACAUAGUUAUUUCAUCUUGGUGGGUGGAGCAUGAAUAUGAAAAAAUGGGAGCACUAAUGUUGUCCCUUAACAGACGCCGGCCCACUUUUGCCUGCUUGCCUGUAUGCUUCUCUAUGUCGUGUUAUGCUACUAUAAUUUGUGGACGCAAAAGAUUCUGCAUUUGAUGCCUUUAUAAGAUUUAAUGCGCUUGAAGCUGAAUUCCUCUCUUUUCUUAAGUACAACUAUUUGUUUUUCUGUUUGAAAUUGCCCCAGAAUUAAAGGGUUAAUUAGCAACAAAAGAGCUUAUUGUCAAUACCUGAAUGUGACUGUAAUGCAUAUAUGCUUGGGUAUAGGUAAGAACUUUUCAGGUGAUGAUUAUUGACAAAACAAGUCAUGCAUGUAUUUGUAGAAGCAAUGCUAAACUACAACAUGGCAAGUUCUACAAAAUUUAGAAAGCUGAUUAGCAUGGCUAUCUUCAACUGUAUUCCCUGCGUAGAAGAUGAUAGUUACGAGAGGCAUUGGGAACUCUCAUGUUGACCUUAGAGCAUUUUGUGUCGAAGGUCUUCAGUGAUGAGCAUCCGAAUUCUAUUAUUAGUAUUAGCAGGUAAAGUCUUGAUGAACAGUAGAACGAAUUCAAAAAAAGGGAAGAGCUUUGCCUUCCAAUGAGCUGGAAUCCGAAGUGGACUUCGCACUCCAAUCCUUUUAACUCUUCUAGUAAGCAAUAUAAUUUUCCUCUUAAAUGUUCAGAAACUUUGCAGGCAAGAAAAAGGUGGUCUCUGCUGUCCAAACCAAAGAACAAAUAGAACAGAGAGCAUUUGUCUCCCAUUGCUGUUGCCUAGAGGGAUAAGAAUUAAAAGUAGGGCCAGGUUAAGCAAUGCAACUUCAGGAUCUCUGUUACUCUGCAAUCCAAGCAGUAGAUGGAAGAUCUCCAAUUCUUUGCUGUAUAGAAUUUCUUUUGCCUCCAAUGUGGAGACAUAACCCCACAAACAGGGCCUUGUAUACGUGUGGACUAUGGAAUCAUAAAGCCUAACUGCAGGCCAAUAUUCUUUCGGUUGAUUUAUUUCUCAUUGAGACUGACCCUUUGUUUUGAUUGGGAAAAACAGAGAGAAAGGAAAAGAAAUUUGAUUUGUCCAAAAUCUCUUAUUUAGACAUCAAAUAGAGAAAGGAAAGGGAGAGAAAGAAAGAGAAAUUUUAUUUCUUAACUCUUUUGUAAUUAACCCAAAACAUGUCCAUCCAAAUUGAUAGGAAAUGAAAAG